This 305-nucleotide ribosomal RNA is filed under the name uncultured bacterium. Its description in RNAcentral is "bacterial SSU rRNA". It matches the Rfam family "Bacterial small subunit ribosomal RNA", at positions 335 to 637 of the family's 1533-position model. The record is from RNAcentral.
GGCCUACGGGAGGCAGCAGUGAGGAAUAUUGGUCAAUGGGCUUACGCCUGAACCAGCCAAGUCGCGUGAGGGAAGACGGUCCUACGGAUUGUAAACCUCUUUUGCCGGGGAGCAACGGGGUCCUUGCGAGGGCCCGAUGAGAGUACCCGGAGAAAAAGCAUCGGCUAACUCCGCGCCAGCAGCCGCGGUAAUACGGAGGAUCCGAGCGUUAUCCGGAUUUAUUGGGUUUAAAGGGAGCGUAGGUGGAUUGUUAAGUCAGUUGUGAAAGUUUGCGGCUCAACCGUAAAAUUGCAGUUGAAACUGGC